CUACUAUACAUAAUAGCUGCUGAGGUAGUGGGAGACCUAUCAGUCUCAAACUCUGUACCCCCUGCGCAGUAGCUGGUACAAAUGUGUGUUGGGAACUGAGUUUUUUUAAGCAAACUCUAAAUCUGAACUGGGUUUGGAUGAUGUGACUGAAACAGGACUGGGUCCUGUGAGAAAGUCUCAGGUACCUGAGUCAGCUUCAUUUUACCCAGUUAUGGGGGCUGGAUUAUUUCCUAGCCGAAUGGAGUGGCUUCUCAGCCAUUGCUGAAACGUCUGGUUCCACAUGACGCACGUUGGACUGUCAAGACUCUUACACAUCAGGUCCUCACAGACUCCCUGGUGCACUGUGUCCUCAUGAGCGGCCAGGUCUUUCUUCUGCCUCAUUUGUGUGACCAUGCAGACGCCACACUGCAAAUCCAGGGUGCCCUAAGCUCCCGUCACCCUGACGUGGUGGCUGUGAUACUAAAAGGGAGUGGAUUGCUCAAUAAAGAUGGCGGUGGCCAUGGCGUCGGGCUGGCACUCACAAGAACCACUCCAACCUAGACGUUAGCUACAGUGACUGAGCUUUGGUUGGAGCCCAUAGCCCAUCCUACUCUGUGAACAGCUAACUGGUUAAGCUGUAACUGGCUGACUAGUUGGCCAACUAGGUUUUUGUCUAUGCCACGCGCGUGUUUGUGUCACUGCUGUCUGGUCCUGUUGUUGGAGUUCUCAGAACCUGCUCUCUUGUUCCGCCUGCUCCAAUAAACCACAGAGCUUAGUGGGAUGAAGGGACUUUCAGCUGUGUGGGAUGAGGGGCAGCAGAUACCUGGGCCAAGUGCUGUUGGCGGAUGCACAGAGAUGGCCAACCCUUGCUCUGACACACAAGACUUCUGUCCUUUAAGAUUGUCCAGCACUGGGUCCUGCAGGAAGCAGCUGGAGUGAAUGAGGAGCAGGUGUGCCCAGGACAGGGCUCUGGCUCCCCCUGUGACCUCACUAGGACCAGCCUUCGAGUCCCAGCCUCUUUGUUCACUGCCCUGGGCCUCACCUCUCUCUGAUCUGGGGCACCAGCUACACCUUUGGGCUGAAAGAGAUGGGUGUCUGGCCGAGCGGUGGAGCAUCCUUGCCAUCCCUGACAGUUCAAGGACAGCAUGGGCUACACAGUGAGUGUCAGAGACGAGGGGAGAACUGAGGUCUAAUUGGCCGUCUCUGAGCACAAAGGGGAAAGGUUGUACUUGGGGUGACUGCAUAUUGCAGGUUUUAGGGAAAACUUAAGACAGCUGAGGUUGGGCCAGGAUUUAGCUCAGUGGUUCCACUGCCUGCCUCGAAAGCGCAAGGUCCUGAGUUCGA
This is a long non-coding RNA of Heterocephalus glaber (naked mole-rat), 1323 nucleotides long. RefSeq lists it as uncharacterized. NCBI's taxonomy places the organism in Eukaryota, Metazoa, Chordata, Mammalia, Rodentia, Bathyergidae. The record is from RefSeq and is a predicted model, not a curated record.